This 497-nucleotide ribosomal RNA is filed under the name uncultured bacterium. RNAcentral's name for it is "partial 16S ribosomal RNA". It matches the Rfam family "Bacterial small subunit ribosomal RNA", at positions 28 to 507 of the family's 1533-position model. The record is from RNAcentral.
GAUGAACGCUGGCGGCGUGCCUAAUACAUGCAAGUCGAGCGAACGGACGAGAAGCUUGCUUCUCUGAUGUUAGCGGCGGACGGGUGAGUAACACGUGGAUAACCUACCUAUAAGACUGGGAUAACUUCGGGAAACCGGAGCUAAUACCGGAUAAUAUUUUGAACCGCAUGGUUCAAAAGAGAAAGACGGUCUUGCUGUCACUUAUAGAUGGAUCCGCGCUGCAUUAGCUAGUUGGUAAGGUAGCGGCUUACCAAGGCAACGAUGCAUAGCCGACCUGAGAGGGUGAUCGGCCACACUGGAACUGAGACACGGUCCAGACUCCUACGGGAGGCAGCAGUAGGGAAUCUUCCGCAAUGGGCGAAAGCCUGACGGAGCAACGCCGCGUGAGUGAUGAAGGUCUUCGGAUCGUAAAACUCUGUUAUUAGGGAAGAACAUAUGUGUAAGUAACUGUGCACAUCUUGACGGUACCUAAUCAGAAAGCCACGGCUAACUACGUG